AUACGUAGGGGGCGAGCGUUGUCCGGAAUGAUUGGGCGUAAAGGGCGCGUAGGCGGCCCGGUAAGUCUGGAGUGAAAGUCCUGUUUUUAAGAUGGGAAUUGCUUUGGAUACUGUCGGGCUUGAGUGCAGGAGAGGUAAGUGGAAUUCCCAGGGUAGCGGUGAAAUGCGUAGAGAUUGGGAGGAACACCAGUGGCGAAGGCGACUUACUGGACUGUAACUGACGCUGAGGCGCGAAAGUGUGGGGAGCAAACAGGAUUAGAUACCCUGGUAGUCCACACUGUAAACGAUGAAUGCUAGGUGUAGGGGGUAUCGACCCCUUCUGUGCCGCAGUCAACACAAUAAGCAUUCCGCCUGGGGAGUACGGCCGCAAGGUUGAAACUUAAAUGAAUUGGCGGGG
Molecule: ribosomal RNA, 397 nt
Filed under: uncultured bacterium
Lineage: Bacteria
Description: partial 16S ribosomal RNA
Rfam family: Bacterial small subunit ribosomal RNA
Source: RNAcentral